GAGUGCGCGGAGGACCGGGUUCCAACCUGCAAUAAACGACCCUUGCCGGUUGGCUUUGGCUCUGGACUCUGAACAAGGCACAAGAAAGUUGCAAGAAACGUAUUACGUGAAUGAUUCAUUAAUGGAAGGCUGAUAUCACAUACACCACAUACUGAUAUCAAAACACAACCAAGCGUGGAAAAAUCUCUGCAAAGAUCUCACAUCUCUGCGUGAACCGAUAUGUGACUUUUGAUGCAGAAGUUAUCACUCAAGCCAGGGAUGCAGUCAUUCUAGAGAUACAUUGGCCAAAGUUCUGAUCACCGGAUGAAUUUCUCUUCAAGAAUGCCCUACAGGAAUGUCCCAGAAAAUUCCAUGAUUCACCUAUAGAGCUCUGCCA
Long non-coding RNA from Prionailurus viverrinus (fishing cat), 376 nucleotides. RefSeq lists it as uncharacterized. NCBI's taxonomy places the organism in Eukaryota, Metazoa, Chordata, Mammalia, Carnivora, Felidae. The transcript has 4 exons. The record is from RefSeq and is a predicted model, not a curated record.